CCUACGGGAGGCAGCAGUGGGGAAUAUUGGACAAUGGGGGGAACCCUGAUCCAGCCAUGCCGCGUGUGUGAAGAAGGCCUUUUGGUUGUAAAGCACUUUAAGCGAGGAGGAGGCUACUGAGACUAAUACUCUUGGAUAGUGGACGUUACUCGCAGAAUAAGCACCGGCUAACUCUGUGCCAGCAGCCGCGGUAAU
RNAcentral lists this ribosomal RNA (195 nucleotides) under uncultured bacterium. RNAcentral's name for it is "partial 16S ribosomal RNA". It matches the Rfam family "Bacterial small subunit ribosomal RNA", at positions 338 to 524 of the family's 1533-position model. The record is from RNAcentral.